UGUAAAGGGAGCGCAGGCGGGAGAACAAGUUGGAAGUGAAAUCCAUGGGCUCAACCCAUGAACUGCUUUCAAAACUGUUUUUCUUGAGUAGUGCAGAGGUAGGCGGAAUUCCCGGUGUAGCGGUGGAAUGCGUAGAUAUCGGGAGGAACACCAGUGGCGAAGGCGGCCUACUGGGCACCAACUGACGCUGAGGCUCGAAAGUGUGGGUAGCAAACAGGAUUAGAUACCCUGGUAGUCCACACCGUAAACGAUGAUUACUAGGUGUUGGAGGAUUGACCCCUUCAGUGCCGCAGUUAACACAAUAAGUAAUCCACCUGGGGAGUACGACCGCAAGGUUGAAACUCAAAGGAAUUGACGGGGGCCCGCACAAGCAGUGGAGUAUGUGGUUUAAUUCGACGCAACGCGAAGAACCUUACCAAGUCUUGACAUCCCUUGACGAUGCUGGAAACAGCAUUUCUCUUCGGAGCAAGGAGACAGGUGGUGCAUGGUUGUCGUCAGCUCGUGUCGUGAGAUGUUGGGUUAAGUCCCGCAACGAGCGCAACCCUUAUGGUCAGUUACUACGCAAGAGGACUCUGGCCAGACUGCCGUUGACAAAACGGAGGAAGGUGGGGAUGACGUCAAAUCAUCAUGCCCUUUAUGACUUGGGCUACACACGUACUACAAUGGCGUUAAACAAAGAGAAGCAAGACCGCGAGGUGGAGCAAAACUCAGAAACAACGUCCCAGUUCGGACUGCAGGCUGCAACUCGCCUGCACGAAGUCGGAAUUGCUAGUAAUCGUGGAUCAGCAUGCCACGGUGAAUACGUUCCCGGGCCUUGUACACACCGCCCGUCACACCAUGAGAGCCGGGGGGACCCGAAGUCGGUAGUCUAACCGUAAGGAGGACGCCGCCGAAGGUAAAACUGGUGAUUGGGGUGAAGUCGUAACAAGGUAGCCGUAGGAGAACCUGCGGCUG
Molecule: ribosomal RNA, 954 nt
Filed under: human gut metagenome
Description: bacterial SSU rRNA
Rfam family: Bacterial small subunit ribosomal RNA
Source: RNAcentral